Molecule: non-coding RNA, 1249 nt
Organism: Heterocephalus glaber (naked mole-rat)
Lineage: Eukaryota; Metazoa; Chordata; Mammalia; Rodentia; Bathyergidae
Source: RefSeq, a predicted model, not a curated record
CAAAACAUGCAUAAAUUGUUCUACAACCUGAAACAGUGACACAACAGAUCAGAAAGCAGGAAGCGCAUACUCUGGGACAAAGGGAAAAAGCCAGGUUUUGAGACAACAAAGACGAUGCCUUUAGAAAAAUCUACUUUUUUUCUCCCCUUUUUCUGUAAUUCAAUCUAGGGUAGCUAUGAAAAACCGCUUUCCCUCUUUCUGUCUCCCAUUGCAAACUUCAGAAGCUUCCUCAAUUGCUGUCCAUCUCUCAGUCCUGCAGGCCUUAGCCCUUUCCUCAACCUGGAAGAUCCUUCUUCCCCACUCCUCUUAUCACCAGGCUGACUUCUGAAGCUUUUAGAAUCAGCCUCCUCUAAAAUCCUUCCUUGGUAGUCAAAGGAGCCCUGCUAUCACAGCCAUACAUACCAUCCUGUACCCUGGACCUAAUGUCUGCCUGCUUGUCCCUUGUUUGAGUCUAUAAGCAAAGCCUAUGAGGAGCCACAUCUGUCUUGUUCAGUGCAGUCAAUAAAUAACUGGCCAAUGAAAAAAUAAGGAAGAGGUGUAGAAAUUCAGAGGGCCCCUAACCCUUCUAAUGGGUCAGGCCAGGGGUUUAACAUUUGAUUCCCUGCUACUCCCUCGAGGUUCUUAUUUGCCCUUCAAACCUUGGAAACUGUCAACCAGAGCAAGAGUGUUCCUGUUUGGAGAUCUUAUCUGUAAGCCUCACCACUGGGUGUCGUUUUCCUCUAUCUUGGCAGCCAGGGCAGUCCCCCUCCAUCACAGCUGUUUAAGUGGUGGAGCCUGUCAUCUUGGAUAGAGUGCAAAAACUACAAUGUAAUCUCUCUUUGUUUCAGGGCCACUGACCAGGGGAAACCAAAACUGAGCUGACUGGGCUCUCCUGAUGUGGACUAGCCAGUGGGUCUGUAGUUUCCUACUGUGUUUAAAACUCUUUAUCUGGCAUUGCUAGCAAAUCAGCAAGCUCGCUGGUCAACUGGAGUCUUAUCUCCAGAGCUGGCUCUUCAAAGAGUGACUCAAUGUGUUUGUUUGGCUGACUUCGGUGAUUGAGAACCCCAAAUCUAGAGUCAAACUGCCCAAAUUCCAACACCAGCUCUACCAAUCACCAGCUCUGUCCUGCUGGGGGGACAGAUGAUUUAAACCCCGGGUGCUUUGAUUUUCUCAUUUUAGAAGCUUAUAUAGGUCUCCCUAUGCAGUUCAGGCUGGCCUUGGACUCCCUAUGUAGCCCAGGCUGGCCUUGAACUUGCAGUGAUCCUCCUGC